UCAGAUGGGCAACAGUGACGCUGGUCCUUACAGCAUACAGACGCGUUCAACUCACAACACAUAUAUUUCAAGCAUAUCCCAAGAAUUUUCGUAGCACAACAACAGGUUUCACCUUCGCCACACCACGAAAAUAAAUUACAUUUGACUGGUUUUGGAGUAGGUGAUGGCGAAUGUAAUCGUAGUUGUCCUGGAAGAUAGUGAGCCUGUAGAGGUAUUCUUCGUGUGUGGAAUAGGUUUUGUUGUGGUGGUGACACCAUUGGUGGAAGAGAUCAGAAGUGGAUGAGGUGGAUAUGGAGGUUAGAGGCGCGGAGAAGAAGGUGAAGAAGAUGAUGAGAGGUGAAAUCCGCCAUUGAUGACUCAUUGUUGGAUAUAGAAGCUCUGUGUGUGUGU
Molecule: long non-coding RNA, 390 nt
Filed under: Helianthus annuus (common sunflower)
Lineage: Eukaryota; Viridiplantae; Streptophyta; Magnoliopsida; Asterales; Asteraceae
Description: sRNA HanXRQr2_Chr05g0224431
Source: RNAcentral